Molecule: ribosomal RNA, 793 nt
Filed under: uncultured bacterium
Lineage: Bacteria
Description: bacterial SSU rRNA
Rfam family: Bacterial small subunit ribosomal RNA
Source: RNAcentral
AGAGUUUGAUCCUGGCUCAGGAUGAACGCUAGCGGCAGGCUUAACACAUGCAAGUCGAGGGGCAGCGGGAGUAGCAAUACUUGCCGGCGACCGGCGCAAGGGUGCGUAACGCGUGAGCAACAUGCCCGUAUCAGGGGGAUAAUCCAGGGAAACUUGGUCUAAUACCCCAUAGUAAUCUUAGGAGGCAUCUUUUAAGAUUUAAAGCUUUGGUGGAUACGGAUUGGCUCGCGUGACAUUAGCUAGAUGGUAGGGUAACGGCCUACCAUGGCUACGAUGUCUAGGGGUUCUGAGAGGUAGAUCCCCCACACUGGAACUGAGACACGGUCCAGACUCCUACGGGAGGCAGCAGUGAGGAAUAUUGGACAAUGGAUGGAAAUCUGAUCCAGCCAUGCCGCGUGCAGGAAGACUGCCCUAUGGGUUGUAAACUGCUUUUGUAUGGGAGCAAUAAGCCCUUCGUGAAGGGUGAUGAGAGUACCAUACGAAUAAGCAUCGGCUAACUCCGUGCCAGCAGCCGCGGUAAUACGGAGGAUGCAAGCGUUAUCCGGAUUUAUUGGGUUUAAAGGGUGCGUAGGCGGUUGGAUAAGUCAGCGGUGAAAGUUUUCUGCUUAACAGGAAAAAUGCCGUUGAUACUGUCUGGCUAGAAUAUGGUUGCUGUGAGUGGAAUGUGUGGUGUAGCGGUGAAAUGCUUAGAUAUCACACAGAAUAUCGAUUGCGAAGGCAGCUCACAAAGCCAUUAUUGACGCUGAGGCACGAAAGUGUGGGGAUCAAACAGGAUUAGAUACCCUGGUAGUCG